Molecule: ribosomal RNA, 468 nt
Filed under: uncultured bacterium
Lineage: Bacteria
Description: partial 16S ribosomal RNA
Rfam family: Bacterial small subunit ribosomal RNA
Source: RNAcentral
GACGAACGCUGGCGGCGUGCUUAACACAUGCAAGUCGAACGGAAAGGCCCUGCUUUUGUGGGGUGCUCGAGUGGCGAACGGGUGAGUAACACGUGAGUAACCUGCCCUUGACUUUGGGAUAACUUCAGGAAACUGGGGCUAAUACCGGAUAGGAGCUCCUGCUGCAUGGUGGGGGUUGGAAAGUUUCGGCGGUUGGGGAUGGACUCGCGGCUUAUCAGUUUGUUGGUGGGGUAGUGGCUUACCAAGGCUUUGACGGGUAGCCGGCCUGAGAGGGUGACCGGCAACAUUGGGACUGAGAUACGGCCCAGACUCCUACGGGAGGCAGCAGUGGGGAAUAGUGCACGAUGGGCGGAAGCCUGAUGCAGCAACGCCGCGUGCGGGAUGACGGCCUUCGGGUUGUAGGCCGCUUUCGCCUGUGACGAAGCGUGAGUGACGGUAAUGGGUAAAGAAGCACCGGCUAACUACGUG